RNAcentral lists this long non-coding RNA (516 nucleotides) under Ananas comosus (pineapple). RNAcentral's name for it is "long non-coding RNA (ACOM_LNC032956)". Lineage: Eukaryota; Viridiplantae; Streptophyta; Magnoliopsida; Poales; Bromeliaceae. The record is from RNAcentral.
AAAAUUUCAUGCGAUUUGGAUAUUUCUACACCGUUAAACUUGCAACCGGCUCACCACGGCCAUUAAAAUUAUUGAUUUUGAGUCCCUUUGAUCACUAGGCAAAUAAUAUCGAAAAAUCACAAAAAUUAUUUUCUAGGUACUUCAAAUACUCUAGAUCAACUCUAAUGGAGCCGAUCGUCGAUUCAAAAGUCCGAACAUCGAAAACAAAGUAGAAGCACGGAGGGCUCCGUGCUUCCAUAAGCAUACCAGCCUACUAUAUAUAUAUAUUCUUAUUAUUUGAUUUUUAGCAGAAUAAAAAUAUAAAGGCAAGCUUAAUUAUAAAAAAACUUAUUUAUAUGUAAAGUCUCAACCAUUAGAUCAAAGUCUAACGGAUAAAAUUUUAUAAAUUUAUUUUUUCUAUACAUAUUCAAUAUAAUUUUUUUAACUUAUUAUUCGUUGGCCAGCUCAUGAGCCAGCUCGUGUUCGAUUCGUUUAUUAACAAGCCGAACACGAGCUAAAUUUUUUUAUUCGAUAUUU